CCGGGAUCCCUGAGCUCCCAGAACAAAGUGUGGACGGCCACCUGGGGUCCUACAGCAGCUCUCUUCUUCCGUCAAGGAAUGAAGACCCUCAAACAAGCAGAACAAACACCCAGCUUCCAGCUGCCGUCACCACGAGCCCAUGACAGAGGCCGCCUCUCCCCACACAGAGGGACAGUGGCGUGAGGUCAGAGCAGAGGCUGGCCCGCCAUGCGUCCUGCUCUUGCUUGUUGCUGAUGGCAGAAGAUGCUGGUGCCACCAGAGCCCAGUCUGGGGACCGGGGCUCACGAGGCCCUGGAUCUAACCUGGCCUCGAAGAGGUCCUGGGCGUCGGGGUGACACCUGGGGCCCUGGGGUGGCUGCCGCGGUGGUGGUCCCGACGCUGACGCUGAUGGAGCCCAUGGUCCCGGCAACACCGCAGAGCUGUGCACUUGGUCCCAAGGCCUUCGGCAGUGAGCUAGAGAAGCAGUGAGUCCCUUCACGGUGACGUCAGACCCUCACGACCAACGAGAAGCCUUUCGUAAAAUGAUGCUUCGUGGCGUUAAACUCCCCCUUGACCAAAGCCUUGUAUGCUGGCCUUCCCUCUCUGCCGCUUUGGAACAGACUCUCAGAGCCCUGCCUCCCGGGCUGCGGUCCUCAUUCUGCUCCAAAUACAACUUGGCUUGCAACGCUCAAGUUGUGCCUCGUUUUUGG
Ovis aries (sheep) is the source of this 689-nucleotide long non-coding RNA. The record is from Ensembl. NCBI's taxonomy places the organism in Eukaryota, Metazoa, Chordata, Mammalia, Artiodactyla, Bovidae.